Molecule: ribosomal RNA, 253 nt
Filed under: uncultured bacterium
Lineage: Bacteria
Description: partial 16S ribosomal RNA
Rfam family: Bacterial small subunit ribosomal RNA
Source: RNAcentral
UACAGAGGGGGCAAGCGUUGUUCGGAAUUACUGGGCGUAAAGGGCGCGUAGGCGGCCUUCUAAGUCGAACGUGAAAUCCCCGGGCUCAACCCGGGAACUGCGUCCGAUACUGGAAGGCUUGAAUCCGGGAGAGGGAUGUGGAAUUCCAGGUGUAGCGGUGAAAUGCGUAGAUAUCUGGAGGAACACCGGUGGCGAAGGCGACAUCCUGGACCGGUAUUGACGCUGAGGCGCGAAAGCGUGGGGAGCAAACGGG